CGGGCGGCCACCUUCGCCGGUGCCGGGCCGUUAUGCCUUGACGAGUAGGAGGGUCGCGGCGAUGAGCGCAGAAGGGUCUGGGCGUGAGCCUGCCUUGGAGCCGUCGUCGGCGCAGAUCUUGGUGGUUAGUAGCAAAUACUCCAGCGAGGACCUGAAGGACUGACGUGGAGAAGGGUUUCUUGUGAACAGCUGUUGCACAGGAGUCAGUCGAUC
This 213-nucleotide ribosomal RNA is filed under the name Aufidus albonigrus. Its description in RNAcentral is "partial large subunit ribosomal RNA". It matches the Rfam family "Eukaryotic large subunit ribosomal RNA", at positions 1334 to 1544 of the family's 3401-position model. The record is from RNAcentral. Lineage: Eukaryota; Metazoa; Arthropoda; Insecta; Hemiptera; Cercopidae.